UUAGUCAACUCCUAUCAAAGUCGUUAUCUUUCGUCACGGGGACGUCUCGUUGUCACCGUCGUCGGAAAAAUAUAGUACCAUUGAUAAUAUUUUUCGGUUUACCGGGGCGUCGUAAGUAUUUGCAGUGCCCGGGGGGAAUAAUUAACCGAAGCAUUUGUGACGGACCAAAAUACAUUGUAUCUUUAUUGUAAUUCGCAAAAUAUCGAUACGCCCAUUUCAGAUUCUGAGUGGAGCG
Non-coding RNA from Cinara cedri, 235 nucleotides. The record is from the annotation of a GenBank genome assembly. NCBI's taxonomy places the organism in Eukaryota, Metazoa, Arthropoda, Insecta, Hemiptera, Aphididae.